CGGCGGACGGGUGGGUAACGCGUGGGUAACCGUGCCUAUACAGGGGAGUAACAGUUGGAAACGGCUGCUAAUACCGCAUAAGCGCACGGCAUCGCAUGAUGCAGUGUGAAAAACUCCGGUGGUAUAAGAUGGACCCGCGUUGGAUUAGCUAGUUGGUGAGGUAACGGCCCACCAAGGCGACGAUCCAUAGCCGACCUGAGAGGGUGACCGGCCACAUUGGGACUGAGACACGGCCCAA
This 238-nucleotide ribosomal RNA is filed under the name uncultured bacterium. RNAcentral describes it as "partial 16S ribosomal RNA". It matches the Rfam family "Bacterial small subunit ribosomal RNA", at positions 96 to 334 of the family's 1533-position model. The record is from RNAcentral.